CCUACGGGGGGCAGCAGUGAGGAAUAUUGGUCAAUGGACGAGAGCCUGAACCAGCCAAGUAGCGUGAAGGAUGACUGCCCUAUGGGUUGUAAACUUCUUUUAUAAAGGAAUAAAGCGAGGCACGUGUGCCUUUUUGCAUGUACUUUAUGAAUAAGGAUCGGCUAACUCCGUGCCAGCAGCCGCGGUAAUACGGAGGAUCCGAGCGUUAUCCGGAUUUAUUGGGUUUAAAGGGAGCGUAGGUGGGUUGUUAAGUCAGUUGUGAAAGUUUGCGGCUCAACCGUAAAAUUGCAAUUGAUACUGGUCGGCUUGAGUAUAGUUGAGGUAGGCGGAAUUUGUGGUGUAGCGGUGAAAUGCUUAGAUAUCACGAAGAACCCCGAUUGCGAAGGCAGCUUACUAAGCUGUUACUGACAUUGAUGCUCGAAAGUGUGGGUAGCAAACAGGAUUAGAUACCCGAGUAGUC
Molecule: ribosomal RNA, 460 nt
Filed under: uncultured bacterium
Lineage: Bacteria
Description: partial 16S ribosomal RNA
Rfam family: Bacterial small subunit ribosomal RNA
Source: RNAcentral